This 1026-nucleotide long non-coding RNA is filed under the name Calidris pugnax (ruff). RNAcentral's name for it is "lncRNA (ENSCPUG00000012175.1)". The record is from RNAcentral. Lineage: Eukaryota; Metazoa; Chordata; Aves; Charadriiformes; Scolopacidae.
GCCUUUGCUCAGGUCCUGCUGUGCUGCAGCUCUUUGCAUGCACAAGGCUGAGCACACUCCUAGAUGAUCUAAUCCAAUAAACAGACAUUGCUCCAGCCACAGCAGAGCUCUUCUUCCCAACGUGGGGAAUGUAGCCAACUCCACAGCUUAGGUCUCUGCCUGUCAGCAACAUUUUACUUCUCUCUGAUCACAUCGAUCUAAUCCAAUAAACAGACAUUGCUCCAGCCACAGCAGAGCUCUUCUUCCCAACACGGGGCAUCUAGCCAACUCUACAGCUUAGGUCUCUGCCUGCCAGCAACAUUUUACUUCUCUCUGAUCACAUCCUAUUGGUUUUGCAGUUCAGUGUAAGGGACAAUCUCACCGCUACUCAGAUCGCCCACGUGUUUUUUGACCCUGGAGUCUUGGAUGAUACCAGCAUGGUUGAAACCCUCCUGGUCUCCCUGGAGAGCAAGCCAGCUCUGGACAUCUCUGCCUUUGUUGCUGAAUUUGUGGCCACUGCUUCUCAGGAAGGCUUAUCAUCCCUGGUAAAUGUGCAAGUCAGAGAUGCCAUGUUCAGUGCAAUCUUUCACAAACUCCAAGACCAGUUCCCCACUUUUAGCAUCUCCCAGUACAAGGACUGGUUCCAGAACAAGCUCAGUCUGUGGCUGGGCAGCAUAAAUGCCUCUGCUCUUGCAGCUAUCCCAAGGAACAUACCUUGUAGAAUAUACCAAAUUAUAAUGAGUGGCUUAGAGGGCAGCUUCCAACAGAUGUCCCCUGCCAGCCACCAGGACGUUUACAGCUUUGCAAAGAGCUACCUGUCUGCUAAGGCUUCUCAGGAAGGUGGCCCAUGCAUUGAGAACACCAGGGGAAGCUUGGGUUGGCUACAAACAAAUCUGGGCUCCUUCAGCUCCUUGGCUACAUACAGAGACCUGGCCGACAUGAAUGCAGACUUCAGCAUCGUAAGUAACUCUGCAAGACAGAGCCCUGUCAAGGCUCAAAUCCCACCUGACAGCCUUUCACAGCCAGCAAACACUCCUGCCCUCAGGC